AUUGAACGCUGGCGGCAUGCCUAACACAUGCAAGUCGAACGGGUUGUACUUCGGUACAGCUAGUGGCGGACGGGUGAGUAACACAUAGGAAUCUGCCCGAGAGUGGGGGAUAACCCAGGGAAACUUGGAUUAAUACCGCAUGAUCUCUACGGAGCAAAGCUGGGGACCUUCGGGCCUGGCGCUUUUGGAGGAGCCUAUGUCUGAUUAGCUUGUUGGUGAGGUAACGGCUCACCAAGGCGACGAUCAGUAACUGGUCUGAGAGGACGACCAGUCACACCGGAACUGAGACACGGUCCGGACUCCUACGGGAGGCAGCAGUGGGGAAUAUUGGACAAUGGGCGAAAGCCUGAUCCAGCAAUGCCGCGUGUGUGAAGAAGGCCUUCGGGUUGUAAAGCACUUUAGGAUGGAAAGAAAAAACUUCAGUUAAUAGCUGAAGUCUUGACGGUACCAUCAGAAUAAGCACCGCUAACU
RNAcentral lists this ribosomal RNA (471 nucleotides) under uncultured bacterium. RNAcentral's name for it is "bacterial SSU rRNA". It matches the Rfam family "Bacterial small subunit ribosomal RNA", at positions 30 to 502 of the family's 1533-position model. The record is from RNAcentral.